AAGUGAGUGUUGAGUAAACAUUCUCUGUACACCUAGAGUUCUCCUGCUUUGACUGUGACCUCUGGAAAAUAUUUUACUAAAUUUUUUAAUAAACUAGAAUAAUUAUGAUGGAAAAAGUAAUUUUUCAGUAACUAACCAUACUUCUACUUGCUUCCCAGGACAACACCUCCCUGGGAACAAGCAAAUUAAGAGUAAGAUGUUUUGAAGAAAAAAAAAAAAAAAAGUAAGACAUUUGCAAGGAAUCAUGGGCUUAGAGCAUAGAAAUCAAAUUGUCUAAAAGGAGAUUUCAUCCACCAAAGGACCAUUUCAUGUUGAUAAUAAUAGAAUGCCUAAGGGAACAUGAAAUUAAAGGAUUCAUGAGAAACAACAUAACAUCAGAUGCUGCUCUAGAUAUUGGGGCUACAGAAGUGAACAAGAAGCCUGCCAUCAAGAAGUUCACAUAAUCUAGCAGGGGGACAAGACAUACACUCGCAAUUCACUGUGGGAAGUGCUCUGACAGAGGUGGCAACCACAGCAAACUCCCUUAAGGCAAGAAGAGCGAGUGGUCAAGCUCAGGCAGCAGACUGCAUCUCCUCUGCUUCCUGUUACUUCCUUCGUGGUAGGGGUAUGAUGCUCAGCACUUGUCGACUACAGUAGAUUCGUCCACAUAGUUUUCCAGCUUGUCAUCCAUGAGGCUGACUGGGUAUGUUUCACAGCUCACAAUUACAGAUUUAAGGAGACUGGGCUGGGAAGACCCACCAGGAAGGCUGUCAGGCCUUGGUCCCAGGGACCAGCACCACCUACCAGAAAAAUCUUGCAUUUGCGGGUGCGGGGCACUUAGCCAGCGAUUAUACAGCUGGUACUUCGUCUCCUCAUUCUAUUCCUGUCCGUGUGUCUACACCUUUCUUAGAAGGGAACCCCAGAAAAUAAAGGGCAAGUGGAAGGAUCAGGGUACCAAAACCCCACCAUAAAUUCUGACUGGUUUCACUGUAUUUCUGUUUUAAGUCAUCUCUCAGAGCUGAAACUUCAUGCCUCUCAAAAUCAUCU
Long non-coding RNA from Neofelis nebulosa (Clouded leopard), 1026 nucleotides. RefSeq lists it as uncharacterized. The record is from RefSeq and is a predicted model, not a curated record. The transcript is spliced from 3 exons. Lineage: Eukaryota; Metazoa; Chordata; Mammalia; Carnivora; Felidae.